This is a long non-coding RNA of Anguilla anguilla (European eel), 1468 nucleotides long. RefSeq lists it as uncharacterized. The transcript is spliced from 2 exons. NCBI's taxonomy places the organism in Eukaryota, Metazoa, Chordata, Actinopteri, Anguilliformes, Anguillidae. The record is from RefSeq and is a predicted model, not a curated record.
AUAGCCGCCCUCACUCUGACAACAAGACGUCUGCUCACGUCUUCCAACGUCCAAGGAGGUGCCAGCUCUUUGGCACAGCUGUCUGCACUUGCUUUAAUUCGCUGGCAACCGUCCUCUGAGUUUUACAGCGAUUGAACAUUAAGAAUCGCUGCAGUAGCCUAUGCCUUGUCUAAAUGUCCUUCCGUGGUUUAAGAAGACGAAACAGGCACUUGAAGCGCAGCGCAAGUGGACCCCCUCACGCAUGGAUCGAAACCGGGCCAAAAUCCGAAGAUAGCUUGUAGAGUGAACAGUGAUUCAUCACCCUCGUCUGGUGGGAAUGAGUACUACAGGCCACGGGCACGCAAGCGCUGAAACCCGGAGAUCUGAGCGCAACUGAGAUGCUUACAAACCUCACCCGUCAAAACAGCCAUCAGUUCCGGAAACGUGAUGACUUCACACUGUGGACACAUAACAACCCGUUCUGCGUCCUUCCACGCGCCACUCCCUCUCCCCGAUUACGUCAACCCUGAGGUGGGCAGAGUGGGGAGAUCUCCGGACCUGCUUUCGGAAUCGCGUCAGAUUCCAUCCAGACCGCCGCAGAAUAUGUCCAUUAUGUCACAAGAAGCCCGUGGGACACUGGUGGAGGGCUGGAAGAAUGACCUCCGAAAUUUAUUUUGACUUCUAAAAAAAAAAAAAAAAGCGUUGCUCUGCACCCUCCCCUCCCGCAGCCAAGACCUGUUUUCAUUCUAUUACACCACCCACUGGUUGCCUAAUCUUGUGUCCGGGCCUUCAGACGAAAAGACCUUGAGAGACCGUUGAUAUACCAGAUGCUAGAAAACAUUCGGCGAACAGCUGUAGCUGAGUUAUCGGGGACAAGCUCUCAUUCCGGCUCGUCCUCUGACAAAUCUUGGCUGGGUCCCCCUGUGUAAUGUUACGUAAUACUCAUAGAGAAAUGUGUAUGAUGAUGGCGAUGUUCCGGUUUCCUACUACAUAUAAAACACAUGUACUCGUUGGGAAUGAUAAUAAUAAUAAUAAUAAUAACAACAAUAAUAAUAAUACGCUGUUGUUUUUAUUUAUAUAAUUACUGUUCAUAUAAUUUCCCGCCCUGAAACGUUUCCGCACUUCUGAGUAGCUAGUAAUGAGAAUCCUGUAAAUACUGAAAUAUUUCACUUGCUUGACAUUAACAAUAUAUGAUUAGUAGGCUACAUAAUUGCUAUUUCACGAAGCUUUUCCCCGCCAUGUUUUUUCUGGUACUUUGAAGGAUGUGAUGUUCGCAGGAUUUAAUUAUUACUUCACUGACAAAAUAUAAUGGGGAGACCGGAGACGUGACCAAGGUACAAGACCUGUGCCAUUAGCGUACCCACCUAACGUAUCCAGACGCACCUUCGAUUUUUUCGUAUAUUCUAUCGCCAUCUGCUGGUGAAAUGUAUAAUUAGUGUUUUCGCCAUAUUCAUCAGUGCACAAGAAAGAAAAUGGUCAUUUAUAAUCA